Molecule: ribosomal RNA, 433 nt
Filed under: uncultured bacterium
Lineage: Bacteria
Description: partial 16S ribosomal RNA
Rfam family: Bacterial small subunit ribosomal RNA
Source: RNAcentral
AGCGAACGCUGGCGGCGGGCCUAACACAUGCAAGUCGAACGAACCUUUCGGGGUUAGUGGCGGACGGGUGAGUAACACGUGGGAACGUGCCUUUAGGUUCGGAAUAACUCAGGGAAACUUGUGCUAAUACCGAAUGUGCCCUUCGGGGGAAAGAUUUAUCGCCUUUAGAGCGGCCCGCGUCUGAUUAGCUAGUUGGUUGAGGUAAUGGCUCACCAAGGCGACGAUCAGUAGCUGGUCUGAGAGGAUGAUCAGCCACAUUGGGACUGAGACACGGCCCAAACUCCUACGGGAGGCAGCAGUGGGGAAUCUUGCGCAAUGGGCGAAAGCCUGACGCAGCCAUGCCGCGUGAAUGAUGAAGGUCUUAGGAUUGUAAAAUUCUUUCACCGGGGACGAUAAUGACGGUACCCGGAGAAGAAGCCCCGGCUAACUUCGU